RNAcentral lists this transfer RNA (76 nucleotides) under Opitutaceae bacterium. RNAcentral's name for it is "tRNA-Ile". It matches the Rfam family "tRNA". From Rfam's summary of the family: Transfer RNA (tRNA) molecules are approximately 80 nucleotides in length. RNAcentral also lists the same sequence under 1 other name. The record is from RNAcentral. Lineage: Bacteria; Pseudomonadati; Verrucomicrobiota; Opitutia; Opitutales; Opitutaceae.
GGGGCUUUAGCUCAAUGGUUAGAGCAGGGGACUCAUAAUCCCUUGGUUCCGGGUUCGAAUCCCGGAGGCCCUACCA